RNAcentral lists this unclassified non-coding RNA (290 nucleotides) under uncultured fungus. RNAcentral's name for it is "sequence contains ITS1". The stretch from base 1 to 105 matches the Rfam family "5.8S ribosomal RNA", at positions 50 to 154 of the family's 154-position model. The record is from RNAcentral. Lineage: Eukaryota; Fungi.
GAACUGCGAUACGCAAUGUGAAUUGCAGGACCCGCGAGUCAUCAGAUCUUUGAACGCAUUUAGCUCGAGAGGGAAACUCCCCCUCGAAUGUGUGUCUCAGUGUUGAACUCAUUACUCCUAGUGCGGUUGAACGACGUUCUCCCGCGAAAUAGGAGCGACUUGCGCUCGGACACGUGAAGUAGUCUCCGCUUCGGCGGCGAUCUCUCGUGCCCCGAGUGAGAAGCCGCAGAGCCCUAGCGCUUUGAAAAUAACUUAAACCUGAGACAGGCAGGACUACCCGCUGAACUUAA